This 2503-nucleotide long non-coding RNA is filed under the name Sinocyclocheilus anshuiensis. Its description in RNAcentral is "lncRNA (ENSSANG00000048662.1)". Lineage: Eukaryota; Metazoa; Chordata; Actinopteri; Cypriniformes; Cyprinidae. The record is from RNAcentral.
AUAAAAUUAAUUUGUAUAUUAAAUGACACUCUAAACUCAAUUGAUUUUGUCAUUGCAGAUCCACAGAGAGACAGAGACGUUUUAUCCAGUUAAUGCCAGUCGAGAUGCUGGACUUGAGGAGAAAAAAUCCACUUCAGUGAUUUCAGGUAACCAAAUCAGUGCUUCUAUACUGGUUUUGCUUCAAAACCCUCAUUUUGCAUUGGAAUAUCAAGUGGCAACCCAAAUGUUAGUGGUUUUUGAGGAUGUCCAUGUGGGCAUCUACGUAAUUUGUCUAAAGUGAUGCAUGAAUUUACACUGAAGUACCACAGAAUUUGAUGUACGGCAUUUGACGUCAACAACACAACGUUGCAUCACGUCGGUCUAGUUGUUGGUUAAAAGUUACAUCCAGAACAAAACACAAACCUCUUUUAUACAUCUUCCAGCACUCUACAAAGAAAGGAUGCUCUCUUUGCUCAGACUGUUUCUGUGUGUGUCCAAUCUAAAUAGUGCCCACAUUGUGUCCAAUGGCAUACACAUCCUCCAAAGACUAAAUUAAUGUCUUCCUGUCAAUACAAAAGACUCCACUAGUCAAAUAAGAUCAUCUAUUUAAGUAGAUGACAUCAACAUCCUGUCUGCGACGAUUGCGAGCAGAGAUGCAACAAAAUGGAUUGAAAUGAGUCACUUGCAGACUCACUGUAUAAUGAUUCAGUUCAUGAGAGUCGAGUCUGGUCUGUUUUCUUUUCUAUUUAUUAUUCUUCUCUUGCUCUUAAGCUCUCUAAUUUUUUUUUAAUUCUUUUUUUUUUUCUCAGAAUUCCCCCCUUUGACCCCCUCACCCGAGAGUGUACGUCACAAAGACUCGGCGAGCACCAUGCGAGGGUCCGCCAGCGAUGGCGACUCUCUGUUUAGUCAGGACUUGGGCGAGGACAGUGUUUUUAAUAAUAAGGCUGAAGACAGCGUCACAAUCACCAGCGGUGUGUCCAUGUCCUACUCGUCCUCCACAGAUGACACCUCCAGCCUCGGGACCCCUAGUGCCAUCUCUCAGGCCAGCACAGAAGCUCCUACAUCAGACCCCUGUCAGGAAAAGCCCACAUCUCCUGGAGCAUCAGGAGAAACAGAGGAGGAAGAGAAAAAGGACUGCUUGACAGAGGUCCCGGAGCGGUCGGCCAUUAUACGCACCUCCAUACGGUCCCUGUCCCCUUUCCGCAGGCACAGUUGGGGCCCAGGCAAAAAUUCAGCGGGGGAGAGUGAGAUUAGUCAACGCAGGUAAUCUCUACCUCUAAAAAUGAAGGUUUUAGGGAUUGAAUCCAAAGCAUACAAAAACAAGCCUAAACUGGUUGGCUGGUUUUAACUGGUCUUCAAGCCUGGUCAUAGCUGGUUUGGUUUUUGGGAUUUGGACCACUUCUUUAGCUGAUCAGGCUGGAAAACCAGCUGAACACCAGCUUUCCCAGGUUGGGAGACCAGUGUGGCCAGUUUAAACCUGCAAAGACCAGCCAACCUGCAUAUGCUAGUUUAGCUGUUCUUUUCAGCAGGGAGUCCAGUGUGGUGAAAAAUUUGAAAAUCCUGUACCCCUUUAAACACUGAAAGGUAGCCUUCAGAAUGACUGUUCAAAAACAUUAAUUGACUAGAGCUAUGCUAAGCUACCAGGCUAAUCAAAUAGCUAUAUGUUGAGAUAGCGCGCUACCGUGUUCAAAAACAUAUCCUGGUAUCCUUUUUUAGAUAACUAAAAUAUAGCAUUUAAAGUUUUUUUUUCUCUAGUUUAAGAGCUAAGAUAGCAUGCUAAUUGACUAGUGGUAUGCUAAGCUACCAGACUAAGGCUUUUUCUCAAUUCCAAGAACGCAAAGAACGGACUUGCGUUCUCGUGGAGACCGGUCUUGCCAAGCUUCUUUGGAAGAACGAACUCGAAAGGACGCAAGGACACAGAGAUGUGCUGUGUUCUUGCUUAACUGACCGCAUAAUCACAGCAUAAGCAGCGGCCAAUGAACCAUAAAUAUAACAUAACAUUACAAACAAAUGUCAUGACUUAUUAAACCAUUGCAUACUAUUAUAGAUAUUAUUUACAUAUAAUUGUAUAUUGUUUUAUUUUUAUGCCAAUAAAAAUACUGCAGACUUUCUCCGGGUCUUAUAACUUUAUUAAAAUUAAGCAAAACAAAACAAUAAAUGUUUACUUUCAAGAGCCAUCAAGUAUUUGCGAGUGCGAGUUUAUAACUUGCAGGCUUCCGUACACCGGCCGCCCGCAGUGUCUUCUGGGAUUUCUAACGGCUCGAUUCUCUGAAGUCUGCACUCGAUGCAUCCUCAAUAUCAAGAACACAUCCGGGCACUUUCAUGCGUCCUCUGUACUUGCGUUCUUGAGAAUUGGAAUUGAACUUCGAUGGUUAAUGAUGACGUAGAACGAGAACACAAGGAUGCAAGAUCGCUGAAGAACGCAUAUUGAGAAACGGCCUAAUUAUUUAACAAUAUGCUAAGAUAGCAGGCUAAUGUUAUUUAAUAUGUGGAAUUAAAUAUCACAUUAUAUGUUAUGAAUAAG